CCAGACUCCUACGGGAGGCAGCAGUGGGGAAUAUUGCACAAUGGGGGAAACCCUGAUGCAGCGACGCCGCGUGAGUGAAGAAGUAUUUCGGUAUGUAAAGCUCUAUCAGCAGGGAAGAUAAUGACGGUACCUGAGUAAGAAGCCCCGGCUAACUACGUGCCAGCAGCCGCGGUAAUACGUAGGGGGCAAGCGUUAUCCGGAUUUACUGGGUGUAAAGGGAGCGUAGACGGCAUGGCAAGUCUGAAGUGAAAGCCCGGGGCUCAACCGCGGGACUGCUUUGGAAACUGUGCGGCUGGAGUGCAGGAGGGGUAAGCGGAAUUCCUAAUGUAGCGGUGAAAUGCGUAGAUAUUAGGAGGAACACCGGUGGCGAAGGCGGCUUACUGGACUGUAACUGACGUUGAGGCUCGAAAGCGUGGGGAGCAAACAGGAUUAGAUACCCCCGUAA
RNAcentral lists this ribosomal RNA (445 nucleotides) under uncultured bacterium. RNAcentral's name for it is "bacterial SSU rRNA". It matches the Rfam family "Bacterial small subunit ribosomal RNA", at positions 331 to 793 of the family's 1533-position model. The record is from RNAcentral.